AUUGAACGCUGGCGGCAGGCCUAACACAUGCAAGUCGAGCGGAUGAAGGGAGCUUGCUCCUGGAUUCAGCGGCGGACGGGUGAGUAAUUCCUAGGAAUCUGCCUUGUAGUGGGGGAUAACGUCCGGAAACGGGCGCUAAUACCGCAUACGUCCUGAGGGUGAAACAGGGGUAUCUUCGGACCUCACGCUAUCAGAUGAGCCUAGGUCGGAUUAGCUAGUUGGUGGGGUAAAGGCCUACCAAGGCGACGAUCCGUAACUGGUCUGAGGGGAUGAUCAGUCACACUGGAACUGAAACACGGUCCAGACUCCUACGGGAGGCAGCAGUGGGGAAUAUUGGACAAAGGGCGAAAGCCUGAUCCAGCCAUGCCGCGUGUGUGAAGAAGGUCUUCGGAUGGUAAAGCACUUUAAGUUGGGAGGAAGGGCAGUAAGUUAAUACCUUGCUGUUUUGACGUUACCAACAGAAUAAGCACCGGCUAACUUCGUG
RNAcentral lists this ribosomal RNA (484 nucleotides) under uncultured bacterium. RNAcentral's name for it is "partial 16S ribosomal RNA". It matches the Rfam family "Bacterial small subunit ribosomal RNA", at positions 30 to 507 of the family's 1533-position model. The record is from RNAcentral.